Molecule: ribosomal RNA, 2526 nt
Filed under: Escherichia coli
Lineage: Bacteria; Pseudomonadati; Pseudomonadota; Gammaproteobacteria; Enterobacterales; Enterobacteriaceae
Description: partial 23S ribosomal RNA
Rfam family: Bacterial large subunit ribosomal RNA
Source: RNAcentral
GGGACACGUGGUAUCCUGUCUGAAUAUGGGGGGACCAUCCUCCAAGGCUAAAUACUCCUGACUGACCGAUAGUGAACCAGUACCGUGAGGGAAAGGCGAAAAGAACCCCGGCGAGGGGAGUGAAAAAGAACCUGAAACCGUGUACGUACAAGCAGUGGGAGCCUCUUAAUGGGGUGACUGCGUACCUUUUGUAUAAUGGGUCAGCGACUUAUAUUCUGUAGCAAGGUUAACCGAAUAGGGGAGCCGAAGGGAAACCGAGUCUUAACUGGGCGUUAAGUUGCAGGGUAUAGACCCGAAACCCGGUGAUCUAGCCAUGGGCAGGUUGAAGGUUGGGUAACACUAACUGGAGGACCGAACCGACUAAUGUUGAAAAAUUAGCGGAUGACUUGUGGCUGGGGGUGAAAGGCCAAUCAAACCGGGAGAUAGCUGGUUCUCCCCGAAAGCUAUUUAGGUAGCGCCUCGUGAAUUCAUCUCCGGGGGUAGAGCACUGUUUCGGCAAGGGGGUCAUCCCGACUUACCAACCCGAUGCAAACUGCGAAUACCGGAGAAUGUUAUCACGGGAGACACACGGCGGGUGCUAACGUCCGUCGUGAAGAGGGAAACAACCCAGACCGCCAGCUAAGGUCCCAAAGUCAUGGUUAAGUGGGAAACGAUGUGGGAAGGCCCAGACAGCCAGGAUGUUGGCUUAGAAGCAGCCAUCAUUUAAAGAAAGCGUAAUAGCUCACUGGUCGAGUCGGCCUGCGCGGAAGAUGUAACGGGGCUAAACCAUGCACCGAAGCUGCGGCAGCGACACUAUGUGUUGUUGGGUAGGGGAGCGUUCUGUAAGCCUGUGAAGGUGGCCUGUGAGGGUUGCUGGAGGUAUCAGAAGUGCGAAUGCUGACAUAAGUAACGAUAAAGCGGGUGAAAAGCCCGCUCGCCGGAAGACCAAGGGUUCCUGUCCAACGUUAAUCGGGGCAGGGUGAGUCGACCCCUAAGGCGAGGCCGAAAGGCGUAGUCGAUGGGAAACAGGUUAAUAUUCCUGUACUUGGUGUUACUGCGAAGGGGGGACGGAGAAGGCUAUGUUGGCCGGGCGACGGUUGUCCCGGUUUAAGCGUGUAGGCUGGUUUUCCAGGCAAAUCCGGAAAACCAAGGCUGAGGCGUGAUGACGAGGCACUACGGUGCUGAAGCGACAAAUGCCCUGCUUCCAGGAAAAGCCUCUAAGCAUCAGGUAACAUCAAAUCGUACCCCAAACCGACACAGGUGGUCAGGUAGAGAAUACCAAGGCGCUUGAGAGAACUCGGGUGAAGGAACUAGGCAAAAUGGUGCCGUAACUUCGGGAGAAGGCACGCUGAUAUGUAGGUGAAGCGACUUGCUCGUGGAGCUGAAAUCAGUCGAAGAUACCAGCUGGCUGCAACUGUUUAUUAAAAACACAGCACUGUGCAAACACGAAAGUGGACGUAUACGGUGUGACGCCUGCCCGGUGCCGGAAGGUUAAUUGAUGGGGUUAGCGGUAACGCGAAGCUCUUGAUCGAAGCCCCGGUAAACGGCGGCCGUAACUAUAACGGUCCUAAGGUAGCGAAAUUCCUUGUCGGGUAAGUUCCGACCUGCACGAAUGGCGUAAUGAUGGCCAGGCUGUCUCCACCCGAGACUCAGUGAAAUUGAACUCGCUGUGAAGAUGCAGUGUACCCGCGGCAAGACGGAAAGACCCCGUGAACCUUUACUAUAGCUUGACACUGAACAUUGAGCCUUGAUGUGUAGGAUAGGUGGGAGGCUUUGAAGUGUGGACGCCAGUCUGCAUGGAGCCGACCUUGAAAUACCACCCUUUAAUGUUUGAUGUUCUAACGUUGGCCCGUAAUCCGGGUUGCGGACAGUGUCUGGUGGGUAGUUUGACUGGGGCGGUCUCCUCCUAAAGAGUAACGGAGGAGCACGAAGGUUGGCUAAUCCUGGUCGGACAUCAGGAGGUUAGUGCAAUGGCAUAAGCCAGCUUGACUGCGAGCGUGACGGCGCGAGCAGGUGCGAAAGCAGGUCAUAGUGAUCCGGUGGUUCUGAAUGGAAGGGCCAUCGCUCAACGGAUAAAAGGUACUCCGGGGAUAACAGGCUGAUACCGCCCAAGAGUUCAUAUCGACGGCGGUGUUUGGCACCUCGAUGUCGGCUCAUCACAUCCUGGGGCUGAAGUAGGUCCCAAGGGUAUGGCUGUUCGCCAUUUAAAGUGGUACGCGAGCUGGGUUUAGAACGUCGUGAGACAGUUCGGUCCCUAUCUGCCGUGGGCGCUGGAGAACUGAGGGGGGCUGCUCCUAGUACGAGAGGACCGGAGUGGACGCAUCACUGGUGUUCGGGUUGUCAUGCCAAUGGCACUGCCCGGUAGCUAAAUGCGGAAGAGAUAAGUGCUGAAAGCAUCUAAGCACGAAACUUGCCCCGAGAUGAGUUCUCCCUGACUCCUUGAGGGUCCUGAAGGAACGUUGAAGACGACGACGUUGAUAGGCCGGGUGUGUAAGCGCAGCGAUGCGUUGAGCUAACCGGUACUAAUGAACCGUGAGGCUUAACCUU